RNAcentral lists this transfer RNA (74 nucleotides) under Monacoa niger. Its description in RNAcentral is "Monacoa sp. JYP-2016b tRNA-Lys". It matches the Rfam family "tRNA". Rfam says of the family: Transfer RNA (tRNA) molecules are approximately 80 nucleotides in length. Their secondary structure includes four short double-helical elements and three loops (D, anti-codon, and T loops). Lineage: Eukaryota; Metazoa; Chordata; Actinopteri; Argentiniformes; Opisthoproctidae. The record is from RNAcentral.
CACUGAGAAGCUAAACUGGGAAUAGCGUUAGCCUUUUAAGCUAAAAACUGGUGACCCCCUAUCACCCUUGGUGA